CUUGUGAGAGCGUUUAAAAAAAGCGACAAAGUUUAAUUUGAUUCUAUUGAUUGAUAAAAUGGUUAUAAUGUGUAUAUAUAGAAGUUCAUCAUUUAUCCAUAGGGAUUUCACAGAGGUCCGUGAUGGGGCCAUCUAACGUAGUCCAAUGUUUCCACAAAGUAUUGUCAACACCAGUCAAUGGACUAACGUCCUUCUUGGCUUGCACGCCGACAACACAGGGGUCAACAUAUCUACUAGGCUUAAUGACCACAAGAAGAAUAUAUAAUAUGCACACCGAUAAUCAAAAGAAGAUAAUAUAAUGACAUGCAUGAAUAUAAGAAACUGUACACCCUAGUAUGACAUUUUAAUCAUUUUGUUUGUAACUUUGGAACAUGACAACCCCAUAGGUCACAAUUACAUCUUAGUAUGCCUUGAAUGUUGAUUUAUUUGUAUAGAACCAUUGAACUCUCUAGCUGAGUUCUUAUUUACUUUCUGCAUUGACUAAGGGUGUGACCACUUAAAGUUAGGAUAAUUUUAUUGGUCCAAACAGUUUGGCUGCAAUUAUGAAGGCAUCAGUUGUUUAGUAGCCGAAGGAAAUGGUCACUAGGGGUUAUAGACCAAAUGAAUACGGAUAAGGAAGAAAUAUUUUGUCAAAUUAAGAAAAAUAUAUUAAUAAUACGAAGACAUUCUUCCACGGCAAACGUCUUUGGGGGAGAAAGGGCAAAGUUAAACAUUGAACAUCGGCCCAGAAAAGGGCGUGUGAAUGAUUAAUUUAAAAGACGUCAAAAACUUGUGUGUAUAAUUAUAUAUAUAUAUAUAUAUAUAUAAAGUUAAAGUUAUAUUUAUAUAUAUUACAUAAGCCAUGUACGACGACAUGACCUCAACAGACACAAAAUAAUCCUUCAAAUUAAUACAUAUUUGUACUUUACAUUAUACUUACAUUAUAUUUGACUAAACAUAUAAUAUACGUGUACGUAAAAGUCCAUUAAAAAAAAGACAUUGUUUACAUCUAUAAUAAUACAGAGUGAAAUUAUGCGUAGUCUUAUACCAAAUCAGAAAAGAAAACAAAUAUGAAUAUAAAAAAAAACGUUUCACUCAGUAAAACGUGGUCAUCUCCAGAAGUACAUCAUGUCAACUAUAUAUAAAAAGGAGGAACGGAUAUUUCUAUUAGUCGCGAGCAGUGACAAACAUCCAGACAACACGUAUCCCUGAAAAUAUGAAAUCAAAGAGAAGACUAUCCAACAUUCAGCAUUAACAUCAGAUCCAACCAUUUCAAUAAGUCAGUUAUUUAACACGAUGUUAAGAAUAAAUAAGCAUUUAGAACAAUAAAAACAAAAGAACAAAAAAAAAUAACUCGAGGUCAAUCGGUGAUUACAAAACGUGCCUCAAACAGUUAGAACAAAAAAACAACAAAAAAAAAACUGUUCGCUAAUAUGUGUUUUAAAACAACGAACAGAGAGUGCAACGAUGAAUAUAUUACUUCAAAAUAAAUAAAAAUUGUAAUCAAGAUUAACGGAAGAAAUAUUUUUAAAAAAUGGAAUAAAUAAUAUAAGUUUAAAUAAAUAUUUUGUAAACUGAACAUUUUAAACCAGGCGUCAUCAGUGUGAAGCAUAGUUUUAAAAUCAAUUUAACGUGUACAAAAAUAUUAACAUUUUAUGCAAAUCUUAGUGACCAGAUUAGAAUCAUAUCUUUGUUUCGUUUUAAUUUAUAGAUCUAUGUACCUCGAAGCAUUCGGUCGCCUCGCGGUAAACAUAAUGGAAUGUGUUGGGAAUCGUUUCAGUUCCAAAAUUAAUGAAAGUGUUGUUUUGUCAUAUAGAUAAGAAAUGUUCAUAGAAUUUUUUUAAAAAAUCACACACUAGGGGAAUGUGAAAUACUCAGUACUAUAUAUAUUACUUUCAAAGUAAUGAGUAACUUAAAUUACAAAUCAGAAUAAAAAUUGAAAACAGAGAGGAAUGUUAGGGAACUCUUCCUGGAAAUAGAGAUAGAUAUAUGGAUUCAAAAAGAAUGAACUGGAAUUUUGUGGAACAAUAAAUACACGUAAUAUCAUAAUUCACAAAAGAGUGCUUCAGCCCUUGGAUUAUUGACGGGAAGAUGUGCUAUGUAAAAAGUGGAUGCUCCGUUAAAAUCAUUGACUAGAAGUUCGCAAGCCUUGUACUUAUGUUAUUGACAUACAAGCACACUAGUGCCAGUUGGUAUCGAUACUCACGUCUCAUGUCUAUACAUUGCCCUUGUCCAAACAAAGUCUUUCUUCCCACCCCCACCAUUCCCGCUCACUCAAUCUCCCUCUCUCACUCUUCCUCUGCCCCCCCCCCCC
This is a non-coding RNA of Biomphalaria pfeifferi, 2293 nucleotides long. The record is from the annotation of a GenBank genome assembly. Lineage: Eukaryota; Metazoa; Mollusca; Gastropoda; Planorbidae.